AUUGAACGCUGGCGGCAUGCUUUACACAUGCAAGUCGAACGGUAACAGGCCUUCGGGUGCUGACGAGUGGCGAACGGGUGAGUAAUGCAUCGGAACGUGCCCAGAGGUGGGGGAUAACGCAGCGAAAGCUGUGCUAAUACCGCAUGUGAUCUGAGGAUGAAAGCGGGGGACCAGGCAGCAAUGUUUGGCCUCGCGCCUUUGGAGCGGCCGAUGUCAGAUUAGGUAGUUGGUGGGGUAAAGGCCUACCAAGCCGACGAUCUGUAGCUGGUCUGAGAGGACGACCAGCCACACUGGCACUGAGACACGGCCCAGACUCCUACGGGAGGCAGCGGUGGGGAAUUUUAGACCAUGGGGGCAAGCCGAAUCCAGCAAUGCCGCGUGCGGGAAGAAGGCCUUCGGGUUGUAGACCGCUUUUGUACGGAGCGAAAAGGCUCUGGCUAAUACCUGGGGCUGAUGACGGUACCGGAAGAAUAAGCACCGGCUAACUACGUG
This 492-nucleotide ribosomal RNA is filed under the name uncultured bacterium. RNAcentral's name for it is "partial 16S ribosomal RNA". It matches the Rfam family "Bacterial small subunit ribosomal RNA", at positions 29 to 507 of the family's 1533-position model. The record is from RNAcentral.